Long non-coding RNA from Stomoxys calcitrans (stable fly), 485 nucleotides. RefSeq lists it as uncharacterized. The transcript is spliced from 3 exons. The record is from RefSeq and is a predicted model, not a curated record. Lineage: Eukaryota; Metazoa; Arthropoda; Insecta; Diptera; Muscidae.
GUUCACCCUAAUAACUGUGAUGCGCGUUAAUAGGGCAAAAAUUAAUGCCAAGACAUUGCUUCCACCUAAAUAAAAUAAUUCUUAAGGGUACAUAAACUCGGCUGUACCUUAAGCUCCAGUCAUUUCUAUUCUCUUUCUAAAGACAUCAUGCGGCUUAUUCUUGUGUGCUUCAUUAUUUUUCAAAUUAUUCAAAUUAUAACGGCUAUCAAUGCAAACUUGGGGAAAAAAUGGUGUAAAGGGGAGGGAUUAGCGUGUAAAUCAGAUUCUGAAUGCUGUUUGAAGAAUUGCAUACCAUGCACUAAAAUAGGUAUACGAGUUUGCAAAGCUCCCAAAGAUCUGUCAGAAAGAAAAUAUAGGGCACAGCAGAUAAAAAGAGAAAAGUUGUUGCAGAAACUUGGACCCUUGGCAGCAUGUGUGGGCUUGCAUUAAGGUUCCUGAACGAAGGAUGUAUAUAAUAAAGAAUUUUAAAAUUUUAUAAAUGAUAA